Molecule: ribosomal RNA, 621 nt
Filed under: uncultured bacterium
Lineage: Bacteria
Description: bacterial SSU rRNA
Rfam family: Bacterial small subunit ribosomal RNA
Source: RNAcentral
GUCGAGCGGUAACAUUUCAAAGCUUGCUUUGAAGAUGACGAGCGGCGGACGGGUGAGUAAUGCUUGGGAAUAUGCCUUAUGGUGGGGGACAACAGUUGGAAACGACUGCUAAUACCGCAUAAUGUCUACGGACCAAAGGGGGGGAUCUUCGGACCUCUCGCCAUUUGAUUAGCCCAAGUGAGAUUAGCUAGUUGGUGAGGUAAUGGCUCACCAAGGCGACGAUCUCUAGCUGGUUUGAGAGGAUGAUCAGCCACACUGGGACUGAGACACGGCCCAGACUCCUACGGGAGGCAGCAGUGGGGAAUAUUGCACAAUGGGCGCAAGCCUGAUGCAGCCAUGCCGCGUGUGUGAAGAAGGCCUUCGGGUUGUAAAGCACUUUCAGUAAGGAGGAAAGGGAUGUAGUUAAUAGCUGCAUUCUGUGACGUUACUUACAGAAGAAGCACCGGCUAACUUCGUGCCAGCAGCCGCGGUAAUACGAGGGGUGCAAGCGUUAAUCGGAAUUACUGGGCGUAAAGCGUUCGUAGGCGGUUGAUUAAGCAAGAUGUGAAAGCCCAGGGCUCAACCUUGGAACUGCAUUUUGAACUGGUCAACUAGAGUACUGUAGAGGGUGGUGGAAUUUCC